UGGGGAAUCCUGGUCAAUGGGCGAAAGCCUGAACCUGCGACGCCGCGUGAGUGAUGAAGGUCGUAAGAUCGUAAAACUCUUUUCAGGGAUCUUAAAGCCUGUCUGUCAACAACAGGCAGAUCUGACUCUCCCUGGAAGAAGCCCCAGUCAACUACGUGCCAGCAGCUGCGGUAAUACGUAGGGGGCGAGCGUUAUUCGGAAUUACUGGGUGUAAAGGGUAUGUAGGCGGCCCUUCAAGUCGCGUGUCAAAGUCCAGUGCUCAACGCUGGGUGUCAAAGGCCAGGGCUGAACGAUGGGGGGGCAGGCGAUACGGACGGGCUUGAGGGCUGGAGAGGUGAGCGGAAUUCCCGGUGUAGUGGUAAAAUACGUAGAGAUCGGGAGGAACACCAGCGGCGCAGGCGGCUCACUAGACAGUUUCUGACGCUAAGAUACGAAAGCGUGGGGAGCAAACA
This 452-nucleotide ribosomal RNA is filed under the name uncultured prokaryote. RNAcentral's name for it is "bacterial SSU rRNA". It matches the Rfam family "Bacterial small subunit ribosomal RNA", at positions 355 to 774 of the family's 1533-position model. The record is from RNAcentral.